This 494-nucleotide ribosomal RNA is filed under the name uncultured bacterium. Its description in RNAcentral is "partial 16S ribosomal RNA". It matches the Rfam family "Bacterial small subunit ribosomal RNA", at positions 28 to 507 of the family's 1533-position model. The record is from RNAcentral.
GACGAACGCUGGCGGCGUGCUUAACACAUGCAAGUCGAACGGAAAGGCCUGCUUUCCCUUGUGGAUUGCGGGUACUCGAGUGGCGAACGGGUGAGUAACACGUGAGUGAUCUGCCCCCACCUUGGGUAUAAGCCUGGGAAACUGGGUCUAAUUCCCGAUAGGACUGCAGGGUGGUGCCUGUGGUGGAAAACGAUUUUCUAGUGGUUGGGGAUGAGCUCGCGGCCUAUCAGCUUGUUGGUGGGGUAAUGGCCUACCAAGGCGGCGACGGGUAGCCGGCCUGAGAGGGUGGACGGCCACAUUGGGACUGAGAUACGGCCCAGACUCCUACGGGAGGCAGCAGUGGGGAAUAUUGCACAAUGGGCGGAAGCCUGAUGCAGCGACGCCGCGUGGGGGAUGACGGCCUUCGGGUUGUAAACUCCUUUCGACCGCGAGGAAGCCACCUGGUUGGAAGGGUGGUGACGGUAGUGGUAGAAGAAGCACCGGCUAACUACGUG